GUUCUUCUACGGCCAGACCCUUUUCUUAAUGAACUUGUUUGAUGAAACACUUGUUUUUGAUGAAAAAUUGACCUGGCGGGGUGAAUGCAUCGGUUGAGUGAGUCUAUUAGUAUUUGUUGUGGAAUGUUUUUCGUCUAAUCCGCAGCAAGCUGCUACAUGUCUCUCUGAGAUUGACCAGUCUCCACCAUCAUCAAUAGUGGAAUCAAUGCAGCCUCUUCAUAAUGCAAUUGUAUAGCCAGAACUACUGAAUCAUCAAGAUCGGGAAGCCAAACUUCUAGUUGCAACCUGUAUUUGUGAGAUAACUCGGAUAAUUGCGCCUGAAGCGCCUUAUAGUGAUGAUAUUCUAAAGGAUAUUUUUAGCUUGAUUGUUGGAACUUUCAAUGGAUUGAGCGAUACUAGUGGUCCAUCAUUUGGAAGGAGAGUUGUAAUUUUGGAGACUCUUGCAAAAUAUAGAUCCUGUGUUGUGAUGUUGGAUCUUGAAUGUGA
Hibiscus syriacus is the source of this 486-nucleotide long non-coding RNA. RefSeq lists it as uncharacterized. Lineage: Eukaryota; Viridiplantae; Streptophyta; Magnoliopsida; Malvales; Malvaceae. The transcript is spliced from 3 exons. The record is from RefSeq and is a predicted model, not a curated record.